Molecule: ribosomal RNA, 657 nt
Filed under: Bacteroidetes endosymbiont of Aspidiotus destructor
Lineage: Bacteria; Pseudomonadati; Bacteroidota
Description: bacterial SSU rRNA
Rfam family: Bacterial small subunit ribosomal RNA
Source: RNAcentral
AAAGAUGAGCCUGCGUUUGAUUAGUUAGUUGGUGAGGUAAUGGCUCUACCAAGACAAUGAUCAGUAGGGGGCCUUAGAGGGUGUUCCUCCACACUGGUACUGAGAUACGGACCAGACUCCUACGGGAGGCAGCAGUGAGGAAUAUUGGUCAAUGGAGGAAACUCUGAACCAGCUACGUCGCGUGCAGGAUGAAGGUCUUUUAGAUUGUAAACUGCUUUUGUAUAGAAAUAAAAUUUCCUACGUGAUAGGGACUUGAAGGUACUGUACGAAUAAGUGUCGGCUAAUUCCGUGCCAGCAGCCGCGGCAAUACGGAAGACACAAGCGUUAUUCGGAUUUAUUGGGUUUAAAGGGUGUGUAGGCUGUUUAUUAAGUCAGUAGUGAAAGCUUACAGCUUAACUGUAAAAUUGCUAUUGAUACUGGUAAACUUGAGUAAGAUUGGAGUACACUGGAAUGUAUGGUGUAGCGGUGAAAUGCAUAGAUAUCAUACAGAACACCGAUAGCGAAGGCAGGUUGCUAAAUCUUUACUGACGCUGAGUGCACGAAAGCGUGGGGAGCAAACAGGAUUAGAUACCCUGGUAGUCCACGCCCUAAACGAUGAUCACUAGCUAUUGGAAAAACGAUAUUCAGUGGCUAAGCGAAAGCGUUAAGUGAUCCACA